RNAcentral lists this ribosomal RNA (259 nucleotides) under uncultured bacterium. Its description in RNAcentral is "partial 16S ribosomal RNA". It matches the Rfam family "Bacterial small subunit ribosomal RNA", at positions 524 to 777 of the family's 1533-position model. The record is from RNAcentral.
UACGUAGGGCGCAAGCGUUGUCCGGAAUUAUUGGGCGUAAAGAGCUCGUAGGCGGCUUGUCACGUCGGGUGUGAAAGCCCGGGGCUUAACCCCGGUUCUGCUUCCGGUACGGGCAUGCUGGAGUGUGGCAGGGGAGACUGGAAUUCCUGGUGUAGCGGUGGAAGUGACGCAGAUAUCAGGAGGAACACCGGUGGCGAAGGCGGGUCUCUGGGCAAUACCUGACGGCUGAGGAGCGAAAGUGUACGGGGAGCGAACAGGA